GAUGAAGAACGUAGCGAAAUGCGAUAAGUAGUGUGAAUUGCAGAAUUCAGUGAAUCAUCGAAUCUUUGAACGCACAUUGCGGCCAUAGGUAUUCCUUUGGCCAUGCCUGUUCGAGCGUCAUUUACACCCUCAAGCCUAGCUUGGUGUUGGGCGCCUGUCCCGCCGUUUUCGCGCGCGGACUCGCCUCAAAGUCAUUGGCGGCGGUCGUGCCGGCCCCCUCGCGCAGCACAUUUGCGCGUCUCGGAGGCCCGGCGGAUCCGCGCUCCAGCAAGACCUUUCACGACUUGACCUCGGAUCAGGUAGGGAUACCCGCUGAACUUAAGCAUAUCAAUAAGCGGAGGA
RNAcentral lists this unclassified non-coding RNA (342 nucleotides) under soil metagenome. RNAcentral's name for it is "partial contains 5.8S ribosomal RNA, internal transcribed spacer 2, and large subunit ribosomal RNA". The stretch from base 1 to 120 matches the Rfam family "5.8S ribosomal RNA", at positions 35 to 154 of the family's 154-position model. The record is from RNAcentral.